Molecule: ribosomal RNA, 497 nt
Filed under: uncultured bacterium
Lineage: Bacteria
Description: partial 16S ribosomal RNA
Rfam family: Bacterial small subunit ribosomal RNA
Source: RNAcentral
GAUGAACGCUGGCGGCGUGCCUAAUACAUGCAAGUCGAGCGAACAGACGAGGAGCUUGCUCCUCUGACGUUAGCGGCGGACGGGUGAGUAACACGUGGAUAACCUACCUAUAAGACUGGGAUAACUUCGGGAAACCGGAGCUAAUACCGGAUAAUAUAUUGAACCGCAUGGUUCAAUAGUGAAAGACGGUUUUGCUGUCACUUAUAGAUGGAUCCGCGCCGCAUUAGCUAGUUGGUAAGGUAACGGCUUACCAAGGCGACGAUGCGUAGCCGACCUGAGAGGGUGAUCGGCCACACUGGAACUGAGACACGGUCCAGACUCCUACGGGAGGCAGCAGUAGGGAAUCUUCCGCAAUGGGCGAAAGCCUGACGGAGCAACGCCGCGUGAGUGAUGAAGGUCUUCGGAUCGUAAAACUCUGUUAUUAGGGAAGAACAAAUGUGUAAGUAACUAUGCACGUCUUGACGGUACCUAAUCAGAAAGCCGCGGCUAACUACGUG